RNAcentral lists this long non-coding RNA (1501 nucleotides) under Equus asinus (donkey). Its description in RNAcentral is "lncRNA (ENSEASG00005028430.1)". The record is from RNAcentral. Lineage: Eukaryota; Metazoa; Chordata; Mammalia; Perissodactyla; Equidae.
AAAAGCAGGAGGAAAUGCCCUUUUCUUUCCCACCCACAUGACUACUGCCUUUAAAGGCAGUUCAUGCUUGAAUGGAAAGGGAAGUAGGCAUCUUUAAUCUCUAUGAUUAAAGAAAAGAAAAGUGUUAACUGGAGGAAUUCAUACUUGACUGACAAGUAGCCAAAAGCUAUACUAUCAGGCACAAUUAACUUUAUGGUUCCUUAACCGGACUCCAUACCUUUUGUUUAAUUUCCAGCCCCAAGCCCCUGGAGCCGUCUAUGGCUACAGUAAAAGUGUUGGAGAUAGGAAAGAAAAGAGAGUGACCCUGAUUUCCUGUAUUAGGUGUGUUGCUGACGUCCCAAAGUGAAAGUUUAUUUUUCAGCAACAUUGCAUUUGGCUUGAUGGAUUCUAUAAUAUGUUGUCUGAGAUCUAAUCACUGUAUACUUGGAUGCGAAAUUCUCACCGAAGCACUCAACCUAAACCUUUUUCAAGUUGGGUACUGCUUUUAGUAACUUUCAAAAUUCUUUGAAUCUUCCAUUUUAAUUGAUAGAAGGAAACCUCAUUAAAUCAUGGAUAUUUGUGCUACACUAUAGAAAUUUGAACUUUCUGUUUCUAAAUGCCUAACUUGAAAAAAAAAGCUUAAUGAGCCAGCCCUGAUGGCCUAGUGGUGAAAGUUCAGUGUGCUUUGCUUGGCUGGUCUUGGUUCGGUUCCUGGCUGCAGAACCACACCACUUGUCUGUCAGUAGCCGUGCUGUGGCAGCAGCUCAUAUGGAAGAAGUAGAAGGACCUACAACUAGAAUAUACAACUAUGUGCUGGAGCUUUGGGGAGGGAGGAAAAAGAAAAAGAAGAAGAUUGGCAACAGAUGUUAGCUCAGAGCUAAAGUUUCCCAGCCAAAAAAAAAAAAGCUUAAUAAUUAUUCAGAAAGAUCUAAUGCUAUCUAUAUAGACAGAAAUUAAAAUAUUUACCUUUAAGUAUAAAGAUUGCUUAAAUACGUUAUUCCUUACCUAAUCAAAUUAAUUUUGGCUAUUCAUGAUUAUUUUGAUCAUUUUUAUCUUGCCUUUGUCAAUGAUGGACAUGCUUGACAUUCAAUUGGGGACUCAUAAAGAGUCAUUUUAUUCAUUGAAUAAUCAAAAAUUUAUUUUUUCACUUAAACUAUAAUCACAGUUGUUAAUACAGACGAAAACCAGAAUAUGAUGAGUAGUUUAAAUCUAAUAAAAUCUAUUAAUCUAUCUACUGAGGUUUAAGCUGUAGUCAUUUUUUUUCUGCCUAAAGGACUGUCUUAUGGUAAUCCAAGUAAAAAUUCAAUUUUACCAUUUAGAAGACCUGUAAUUUUAAAACAUUUAUUUUCACAUUUUCUAGUCUGAAGCUUCAAAAGACAAGUUGAUUUUAUUUGUCAAAAUCAAAAGAAUGAAGGCUAGUUAGGUUGCUAUAAAUCACUUUGUGACCUCAGCAAGAUUUUAAAUCCUCCAGCUCUUCUCUAUUCCGCUCUGUCAACUUCCUUGACUUCCUUCCCUUUCUACC